RNAcentral lists this ribosomal RNA (253 nucleotides) under uncultured bacterium. Its description in RNAcentral is "partial 16S ribosomal RNA". It matches the Rfam family "Bacterial small subunit ribosomal RNA", at positions 524 to 776 of the family's 1533-position model. The record is from RNAcentral.
UACGUAGGGGGCAAGCGUUGUCCGGAUUUAUUGGGCGUAAAGAGCGUGUAGGCGGCCAGACAGGUCAGCUGCGAAAACUCGAGGCUCAACCUCGAGACGUCGGUUGAAACCGUCUGGCUAGAGUCCGGAAGAGGAGAGUGGAAUUCCCGGUGUAGCGGUGAAAUGCGCAGAUAUCGGGAAGAACACCCGUGGCGAAGGCGGCCAACUGGACCACAACUGACGCUGAGGCGCGAAAGCGUGGGGAGCAAACAGG